GACAGAGGGUGCAAGCGUUGUUCGGAAUUACUGGGCGUAAAGGGCGUGUAGGCGGUGAAGUAUGUCCGGUGUGAAAGCCCUCGGCUUAACCGGGGAAGUGCAUCGGAAACUACUUUGCUAGAGUGCGAGAGAGGGUGGCGGAAUUCCCGGUGUAGAGGUGAAAUUCGUAGAUACCGGGAGGAACACCAGAGGCGAAGGCGGCCACCUGGCUCGUAACUGACGCUGAGACGCGACAGCGUGGGGAGCAAACAGG
This 253-nucleotide ribosomal RNA is filed under the name uncultured bacterium. RNAcentral's name for it is "partial 16S ribosomal RNA". It matches the Rfam family "Bacterial small subunit ribosomal RNA", at positions 524 to 776 of the family's 1533-position model. The record is from RNAcentral.